ACCAAAUUUCAACAAGUCUUUCUCCACACUUCUUAACACUCCUCAUGCAUCUCUACCACUUGUAAUCAAUCAAAUUUAUUGUAUUCUAACAUAUUCUAAACCCAAACAACACUAGAUAAGUCAUUUAGUGGUUCAACGCAAUGUUUCCGAGUUCUUAGCCCAUUUGGGACCGAAUUUCAACAAGUCUUUCUCCACACUUCUAAACACUUUUCAUGCAUCUGUAGCACUUGUAAUCAAUCAAAUUUAUUGUAUUCUAACAUGUACUAACCCUAAACAAAACUAGACAAACCAUUAAC
This 296-nucleotide long non-coding RNA is filed under the name Capsella rubella. Its description in RNAcentral is "long non-coding RNA (CRUB_LNC000427)". Lineage: Eukaryota; Viridiplantae; Streptophyta; Magnoliopsida; Brassicales; Brassicaceae. The record is from RNAcentral.